AAUACCGCAUAACCAUAGUUACCGCAUGGUAACUAUGUAAAAGGUGGCUAUGCUACCGCUUUUGGAUGGGCCCGCGGCGCAUUAGCUAGUUGGUGGGGUAAAGGCUUACCAAGGCAAUGAUGCGUAGCCGAACUGAGAGGUUGAUCGGCCACAUUGGGACUGAGACACGGCCCAAACUCCUACGGGAGGCAGCAGUAGGGAAUCUUCCACAAUGGGCGAAAGCCUGAUGGAGCAACGCCGCGUGGGUGAAGAAGGUCUUCGGAUCGUAAAACCCUGUUGUUAGAGAAGAAAGUGCGUGAGAGUAACUGUUCACGUUUCGACGGUAUCUAACCAGAAAGCCACGGCUAACUACGUGCCAGCAGCCGCGGUAAUACGUAGGUGGCAGGCGUUAUCCGGAUUUAUUGGGCGUAAAGGGAACGCAGGCGGUCUUUUAAGUCUGAUGUGAAAGCCUUCGGCUUAACCGGAGUAGUGCAUUGGAAACUGGGAGACUUGAGUGCAGAAGAGGAGAGUGGAACUCCAUGUGUAGCGGUGAAAUGCGUAGAUAUAUGGAAGAACACCAGUGGCGAAAGCGGCUCUCUGGUCUGUAACUGACGCUGAGGUUCGAAAGCGUGGGUAGCAAACAGGAUUAGAUACCCUGGUAGUCCACGCCGUAAACGAUGAAUGCUAAGUGUUGGAGGGUUUCCGCCCUUCAAUGCUGCAGC
This 701-nucleotide ribosomal RNA is filed under the name uncultured bacterium. RNAcentral describes it as "bacterial SSU rRNA". It matches the Rfam family "Bacterial small subunit ribosomal RNA", at positions 165 to 852 of the family's 1533-position model. The record is from RNAcentral.